RNAcentral lists this unclassified non-coding RNA (386 nucleotides) under uncultured fungus. Its description in RNAcentral is "sequence contains ITS1". The stretch from base 1 to 104 matches the Rfam family "5.8S ribosomal RNA", at positions 50 to 154 of the family's 154-position model. Lineage: Eukaryota; Fungi. The record is from RNAcentral.
GAAAUGCGAUACUUGGUGUGAAUUGCAGAUACCGUGAAUCAUCAAAUCUUUGAACGCACAUUGCACUGUCUGGAACUCCGGGCAGUAUACCUGUUUGAGUAUCAGCUACUACUCUCACUAUCAGUUACCUUGGUAGCCUAGUGAGGACUUGAGUUAUCAUGGACUAUCCUCGGAUAGCCUGUGCGACUUUAAAUAGCAGUACCAGCGUCCCUAGGAUCGCUGUUAUCUUGCAGAGUUGAUGGCCUUGUGCCUAAUCCUGUUAGGGUAACUGAUCGUAUACCUAGUGGUUAAUCGUAGCUGGCUUACCAAACCAUACAGUGGUCAGUAGUUAACUGGCCGACUGUGACUUUGAUCUCAAAUCAGGUAAGAUUACCCGCUGAACUUAA